Molecule: ribosomal RNA, 165 nt
Filed under: uncultured bacterium
Lineage: Bacteria
Description: partial 16S rRNA
Rfam family: Bacterial small subunit ribosomal RNA
Source: RNAcentral
GUAGGGAAUCUUCCACAAUGGACGAAAGUCUGAUGGAGCAACGCCGCGUGAGUGAAGAAGGGUUUCGGCUCGUAAAACUCUGUUGUUAAAGAAGAACAUAUCUGAGAGUAACUGUUCAGGUAUUGACGGUAUUUAACCAGAAAGCCACGGCUAACUACGUCCCAG